This 406-nucleotide ribosomal RNA is filed under the name uncultured bacterium. Its description in RNAcentral is "partial 16S ribosomal RNA". It matches the Rfam family "Bacterial small subunit ribosomal RNA", at positions 30 to 526 of the family's 1533-position model. The record is from RNAcentral.
AUUGAACGCUGGCGGCAGGCCUAACACAUGCAAGUCGAACGAGUGGCGGACGGGGGAGAAAUGUCUGGGACACUGCCUGAUGGAGGGGGAUAACUACUGGAAACGGUAGCUAAUACCGCAUACCAUCGGAUGUGCACAGAUGGGAUUAGCUAGUAGGUGGGGUAAAGGCUCACCUAGGAGACGCUCCCUAGAUGGUCUGAGAGGAUGACCAGCCCCACUGGAACUGAGACACGGUCCAGACUCCUACGGGAGGCAGCAGUGGGGAAUAUUGCACAAUGGGCGCAAGCCUGAUGCAGCCAUGCCGCGUGUAUGAAGAAGGCCUUCGGGUUGUAAAGUACUUUCAGCGGGGAGGCGUUACCCGCAGAAGAAGCACCGGCUAACUCCGUGCCAGCAGCCGCGGUAAUAC